Molecule: long non-coding RNA, 4368 nt
Organism: Taeniopygia guttata (zebra finch)
Lineage: Eukaryota; Metazoa; Chordata; Aves; Passeriformes; Estrildidae
Source: Ensembl
AGGACACUGGCCUUUAUUAGCUCCUUGCUUUAAGAAAUACAUUAAUCAACUGAAAUUCAAUUUUAAAGACCCAAAGAGGAAUAUAUGAAAGGAUUAGCCAAUUGAUAUGUAAUUGAAUUACGAGUUCAGAUGUGAUUAAUAGUGAAAUCUGACUGUGAAAGAAAGCCUGCAAUGAUCCAAUGUACAGCCUCAUCUACUGGCAAACGACCCACUGAUUCCCAGUGCUUGCUGGCAGCCAUCAUACCCACAGCCGUUUCAUGCACAAAAUCGACACAAAAGCCAAAUGCAGGCAAAGGGUAGGGCUCCAGCAAACCAGAUUCUGCAUUUAUUGGACUCAGAACAACAGCGGAUUUUCAGGUUACAAAAGGAACUGAACACUGAGCACGAGGGGCCACCCUGUGGCAUGGCUGGGUGCUCAUGUGGGCCCCAGGCAUGGCUGAAAGAGAAAGGAGAAUUUUCAUUUACCCCCAGCACGGUGUCAUCUGUUUCUUUACCUGGGUGCCAGGCAGGCCCCUCUCUUUGGUUAUGCAGAUUAACAUCCUUCAGUCCCACACGGGGACUUGAGAGUUGCAGUUGUCCCCAGGGCAUCCUGCACUGCACUCCAUUGGCCCCAGAAGCAUCUGUCAUCACAGUCCAGCCCAUGGUACCAAAACACUCUGGGGCUCUCUCUUCCUUAGCCAAUGCAUUCAGUUCCAAUUAGAAAAAAAAAAAAAAAAAAAAAAAAAAAACAAGCAAAACAAAAAAAAUAAAAACAAAACCAAAACAAAACAGAGAGAAAAAAAAAACCAAACAGCUGUGUCAACAAUCCAUCUAAUUCCUUCUCUGGGAUAAUUUACCCUCAGGCAAUGCUAUAAUUUGGGCAAAGCACUGCGAUUCCAAACUGGGCCAGACCAGGCUGUGUGUGCUGCACCUGCAGCACGGGUUUCUGGGGUCUCCAGGGUCACAGUCCCAUCAAAAUGGGGCCAAGGCCUGUCCAGUAUCAUGCUCAGCCCUCCCCUUGGAGCCAGGCCCCCAGAAAGAACCAGCAUCAUACCCCAAAGUCUCUCUGCCAUUCCAAGGCUGCCGGCUCUUUUUCUUCUGGCACUGCUGUGGCAUUGGCUUCUCUCUUUCCCCCAGCUGUGGUGGAAGGAGCAGUUGCAGACUGGCCUUUGUUACUCCCAGGAGCACAGCUGUGGGCUGGGAGCCCCCCAGGCAAAAAGGCACCAGCAAUGAGCUUUUUGGCUUAUUACAAAGAAAGUAAAAUAUAUCAAACAGAGAACUCUUAUUAUUACAGAGACAUGUUAACAAAGAGAAACAGCAUAAAAUUGCCACAGAACACCAAAUAUCCGGCACAGAGAGCAGCUUUUAUCAACUUGCUAAGGGUUAAUGUGGGCGCAGAGAUUGACUCUGUGAGUCACAAGCACCCUGUCUGCCCACAGCCACCCCAGUGCCCACAGCCAGCCCUGGGCCUGCAAAAUGUGGGACACAGCCACUCUGUAAGCCCAGCAUUCUGCCCAAAUGUGCAAGUCAGAGAGGGAAGAAACAAGGGACACUGUGUUGUUCCCCAAAUGCAAACACUGUCCCUGUCUAACCUCAAGAAGACACAGGAAGGCUGGAGAAGGUGAUGCCAACCCCAGCCUGUGCCAGUGUGUGCCUGUGCAUGCCACAAAAGGGGGCACCUUUGCAAACUGGGCAGCACGAGCCAGAAAAAUAAUUAAAACUCUUCAAUAAAUUGGCACGUUCUGACUCAUCUCCUGCAGAGCAUCCAGCACCUCAGUGUGCAGCCAGAGAGGACUCUUAGAGCACGUCACUAAAUAGAUAUCUUUAGCGAUAGAAAAUGGGCCAUGCCUUUAUUUUAUGCAGAGAUAGAUAAUUUUAGCAUACAUUGUGUUAUUGAAACAUCCAGGGCAAGAGCUCAGCAAGGGGAGGGACAGCACAGGGACUGCAGGGCCGGCCAGUGGUGACUGAGGGCAGCAGCUCUCGGGCUGGCAGGGAGGCAGGUGACACCUCGGGUGCCCCUCAGCAUUCCCUGCAGAGCACAGGGACAGCCCCAUGGCCCAGAGCAGGGAGUGGUGCCACAGGGAGGGUCCUGCCCCAGCUUCACCUCCCUCACUGAGCACCCUGUUCCCUGAGCUAAGCACAAAGGGCCUCUUGGACUUCAUGGCAGUGGCAUGUGGAUGCUGCUGGCUCUCCAGACUCAACCACAGCCUCUCCAAGCAGAGAGCUGCUGUCUUGGCUCUUGUUCCUGCUGAGCUGAGCUCCCUGCUGAGGCAGGGGGUGCUGGCAGGAGCCUGUCAGGCUCAGGUGGGCACAGGUCGGUGAUACCUGCCCUGGGAGUGCUGCAUGCCAUUGCAGCAUUUGAUCUGUCUCACUGCUUCUGGCAUGACACAGGGCUGAGGAUUUCUUUAUCCUUUAUCCCACACCCUCUGUUAUGGAAUGGUGCCCAUCCAUGCACAAACACUGCCCCCAGGGAGAUGCCAACAUCUGUAUCCCUUGUCCUCCAUCUGCUGCCUUGGGCAGGAGCUGAUGGGCUGAGCCAUGACCCAGACUGAGCCAGCUCAGAACCCCCCACACCUCUGAGAUGAGCCAGAGCAGAGUCAGGGAAUGCACAGGGGCACCUGGAGAUGGUCAGCUCUCAGCUGUGACACCCAGGGUGUCCCAACCUCAGGGCUCAGCCAGCCCGAGGAGAGCCUCAGGGACAGCUUCUUUGGGACUGUGAACACGGUGAAAUUCUCCUUGCUUUAUUAAAGCAAAAAUAGACAAAAAAGCAUAAAAAUAAAUGGCAGGAGUUAGACUUUGGUAUUUCGUAAAGACUCUUCUUCCCCAGUUCCUGCAGCAGCCCAUGAAAAUCCACAUGGAAACAGCAUUAAUUGCCCCAGCAAAUACACACACAGGUGCUGCGAGUCCUGGCUCCCACAUUUCCUGGUAAUUACAUUGCAGAAACCCAAUUUUUGAAUUAACAAGUUGCAGAAGUUACUGUGAUACUGAAGAGACAGAGAGCAUGACCUCAAUGCCCCCGACUGCCCCUCUGUCCUGGGCUGGGGGUGCUCCCCGUGAGCUGCUGCCCUGCUCAGCACUCACUGUCCUGAGUGACACACACGGGGCAGGUGAUACAGGGGCAGAAUCCUUCCCCUGCUCCUCCACUUCUCAUUCACAUGCUGCUCCCACCAGGAAAGCAGGGUGGGCAAAUCCCUGCUAGGUUUGGCCUCUUUCCAGUCUCCCAGCAGAUGAACACCCAGCAGGACACGGCCACACUCAUUAACCAACCAAACCUUCACUGACAUGAGCCUGUGUGAAGCACAAAGCUCUCCCAAACUGAUGUUCCAACAGCUUGGAGCCAUCCUGAGCUGAUAUCAGGGACUGGGAAUCAGCACUCAUCUGCUCACUGAGCUCUGCUGUGAAGAGCCAGGGAAAUUUCCAGAAGACAGGGAUGCACCAGCUUGAAUUUUUCACUGGUUCAUUUGCAGAUAUCUGUAGCUCACAUCAGCACUGAAAAUGCCAGCAGCCCUCUGGCAUGGGGGAGCCUCUGAGAGCAGCAACCUGCUGGCUGCCAGCCAGAAAGUUCACCUAUGGGUCCUGUUGCUGCCUGCAUGAGAGGAUUUCAGAAGGAGGAGCAGGAUCAGAGCCUUAUCUAGCGGAGGAAGGAAAACCAUUGCAAAGAAAGAUCCUCCCCAUCCAUAGGGGCUUUUCCCCCACUCCUUCUAAUAAUGAAAAUCCCAUCCAAAAGUUGGAAAGUAUCAGGGAAAUUGUUUGUUUAACUCCAAGAGUGUAAAGGAGCAGCUGCACCUUGAUGGCAUUUCCUGGAGAGCUGAGCUGGGCUCUGGGUGGGCGCAGGGCUCUGGGUGUGCUCACUGCCCUGGGAGGGUGCAGAGUUUGCUGUUUGUCUGUGCCAGCACAAGAAUCCCUCGUAGGUGUCUGGUUUAGUGAUGCCAGCCCAUGAUGGCAUGUGUGACCCUGGCACCAGCCUGUGUGUGUGCAGUCACUGACAGCCUGUCUGGGUCUGGGCACGGGGUUUGGAUGUACUCAGGAUGUGCAGGAGGAGGAGAAAUAAAACACCACAGGGCACGUAGGCUUGGCCUCUGUGUGUGUGCUGGGGGCAGGCUGGGUGUGUGGGGUGGUGCAUGUGGGAUGGGGUGUGUGGGGUGAUGUGUAAGGGAUGGUGAGUGUGGUGUGUGAGUGGUGUGUAAGGGAUGGGGUGUGUGGUGUGUAAGGGAUGGUGUGUGGGGUGUGUAAGGGAUGGUGUGUGGUAUGUCAGGGAUGGGGUGUGUGGUGUGUGAGGGAUUGUGUUUGUGGUGUGUAAGGGAUGGUGUGUGUGGUGUGUAAGGGAUGAUGUGAGUGGUGUGUAAGGGAUGGUGUGUGUGGUGUGUAAGGGAUUGUGUGUGUGGUGUG